This 254-nucleotide ribosomal RNA is filed under the name uncultured bacterium. RNAcentral's name for it is "partial 16S ribosomal RNA". It matches the Rfam family "Bacterial small subunit ribosomal RNA", at positions 524 to 776 of the family's 1533-position model. The record is from RNAcentral.
UACGUAGGGGGGCAAGCGUUGUCCGGAAUCAUUGGGCGUAAAGAGCGUGUAGGCGGUUCGGUAAGUCUGCUGUGAAAGUCCAGGGCUCAACCCUGGAAAGCCGGUGGAUACUGUCGGACUAGAGUGCGGAAGAGGCGAGUGGAAUUCCCGGUGUAGCGGUGAAAUGCGCAGAUAUCGGGAGGAACACCUAUUGCGAAGGCAGCUCGCUGGGACGUUACUGACGCUGAGACGCGAAAGCGUGGGGAGCAAACAGG